RNA transcript from Quercus lobata, 607 nucleotides. It is a transcript of the gene named 26S proteasome non-ATPase regulatory subunit 2 homolog A-like, with no coding region annotated. Lineage: Eukaryota; Viridiplantae; Streptophyta; Magnoliopsida; Fagales; Fagaceae. The record is from RefSeq and is a predicted model, not a curated record. The transcript has 6 exons.
UUCUAGAGUUUUGGAAAUAUGGCAAAAAGAAAACUCAAUUCUAGAGAAGCAAACACAGUAUUUUGAAUUUUCAAACCCUAUGAAGUAAUUUUAGCUUUAGUUACCUUAGCUAAGCCAUGCACUAAUGCUUCAUUCAGAGUUCGUUGUUGCUGUUGUUGUUCUUUGUUUUAUACUCAUACUCAUACUCAUAGCAAAUGAAUCAAAGUAGUCACUUUGAUUGUGUGCUUGCAUUGCAGUCUGAGGAUUUGGCAUUGAAGCAUCAAUUGGAGUUGUAUGUGGAAAGGAUUCAGAAUUAUUGCCCUGUGGUACAGAGGAAUGCGCUUCAGAGCUUGGGGAACUUAGCUGGAGAAAUUCCACAAGAGUAUGUUGAGCGAAUGAGUGAAGAUGAAGAAAUUGAUGAUCUUAUGAAGCUUGUUGAACAAGUAGUUGCUUUUCACAUGAAGCACAAUACUGAACAUGAAGCUGUUGAUCUCUUAAUGUAGAUUACACUAUUUCCAGAUAUGAUGCUGGUUUGUAAUUUGUAAAGACAUAUCCUGGUGUGGCAGGUACGGGAGAUCAACACUGCUUCAUCAGAGGCCUCUCCAUGGUAAUCGGGGGAGAACUUUCC